RNAcentral lists this long non-coding RNA (1727 nucleotides) under Macaca mulatta (Rhesus monkey). Its description in RNAcentral is "lncRNA (ENSMMUG00000065050.1)". Lineage: Eukaryota; Metazoa; Chordata; Mammalia; Primates; Cercopithecidae. The record is from RNAcentral.
GGGGAUCACGCAGAGCUGAACCCCGGAGCUAGGCGCUCACGGAGGGCUGCACAGAGCUGGAAGACGCGGCAGCUGUGACCUGGCGUGAGGAGGCCAAGGGAGCGCACAGAACUGCAAGCAAAGGGCGGUGGGGCCUGGACCCUGAAGUGAGUGGCCGACCGCAGCAGCUCAAGGUGCCAUCUGCCUGGCCUGUGAGGUGUGUCCCUCCAGACUGAGAGGCUACGACUCAGGGCUGGACUUUGUGGAAAAAAGAAGUUUAUAAAACAAGUAACCCAGUUUAUCCAACCUUUACUGUGGAGCAACAGCGUCAAGCAACAAAACCCAGCAAAGUUUUGCUUGUCACUUACAAGGGUGUUGCUGAAAUCUGGAAGGUGAACAAUGAGAAGAUAGCCCAAACAUGCUCUAUUGCUCUACACUGAAAUAUUCGCCUCCAAUGAUAGAAAAAAGUUUUCGUGCAAUUAGUUGAUUAGCGUUUUGUAGCAGUCCCUAGACAAUUUUAAAGACAUUUUGUUUGUAGUCAAAAUUAAACACACACACACAUACACACACACACACACACAGAAACCAUAUUCAAGACACAGUUCGACUCUUUCCUUGACACUACCCACGAGGUUUGAAGCAUUUUUGAAUGUUAUUUUCAAACUUCCUUAAGUGAUCCCAUGAAAUAAAAGUCGGUAAUAGAAAUUCAAAUAACACAGAACAAAGAACUUAGAGACCACAGAGCUUAGAGAAAUGGAGAAGCAGUAGAGGUAAAUACAAAUCCGUGCGCCAGAAAUCUGUAAGAACCGCUUAUAAAUUCAGUUACCUCCUGAACUCCGACCGAUGGCCACUCCGGCCCGGGAGCGCCCCGCGCCGACCCGCUGGCCUUGGCUGUCUCAGCCUUCAUUAUCGCCGCGGCCUCUGCGCCCCCUGUCCCCGGCUGCCCAGGGGAACCAAGUUCCCGCUGCUGGCGUAGGGGCAGAGGAGCCCCGCCUCAUUCUGGAUUCGGUGGCCAGCGCAGAACCAUUUGAAAAGAAGCAGCCCGAAGUGAAACAGAAAAGCUGAAAACUCCCCGGCCGGGCUCUCCACUUCUCGGUUCUCGCUCACGAGUUCCAAACAGUUAAAACGACGUUGGCAAGGCCGAGGGCCACCGAGCUCUGUGAGACUCCCUUGGAGGGGCCAGGAACGGUAGCUCCAGAAGCUUGGAGGCGGCGGCUGGGAGUUGGGGCGCAACUUCAGUGACUGGGCGCCGCGGCCGUGCUGGGGCUCCCAAGCGUCUGGCUCCCGGGGUCGGUCGACGCGGCGCUGCCUUCGAUCAGGUCCCGUCGACCUCGGGCCUCUGGACCACCACCGCUCCGGCCGGCCCGGCAACCCAUCCCGAGCGAGAUCGCGCUCCACCCCUUCUCCUCUGCAUUCCCGCAGGUCCUGGGGCGGCUCCAUCCCCCCCAAGGCGGGGAGAUGGCAAGGGAGGCUCCAGAGAGUUUCGGGAGGGGGCGCCGGAUUCGGUUUAAGAGACCGCGUAACAGAUGGUGGAGAGCUCCUAGAUGAAAGUUUUUGAACAGGCACUCGCUAAUAGACUUGCUUUGACGACUCGGGGUGUAAUUGAAGGGUCAUUUAAUCUAGAUGCAAGGUGAAAGAAAACAGGCCCGGGGGUGUGGCAUACCUAAGGAGGAACUAGAGCAUCUUUUCACUAGGUUUGCCUGUCAUUUUUACUUUCCUGGAAAAUACAUUCUCAAGUCAAAUUUUAA